CCCCUAGAUGUUCUGGGCCGCACGCGCGCUACACUGAACAGUUCAACAAGUCUUAACCUUGGCCGAUAGGUCUGGGUAAUCUUUGAACGCUGUUCGUGAUUGGGAUAGACCUUUGCAAUUAUGGGUCUUCAACGAGGAAUUCCUAGUAAACGCAAGUCAUCAGCUUGCAUUGAUUACGUCCCUGCCCUUUGUACACACCGCCCGUCGCACCUACCGAUUGAAUGGUCCGGUGAAAUCUCGGGACGGCGGCUUGGUCGCUUGCGUCCGACUGCUGAAACUUGAUUAAACCAUAUCAUUUAGAGGAAGUUGAAGUCGUAACA
Molecule: ribosomal RNA, 320 nt
Filed under: uncultured eukaryote
Lineage: Eukaryota
Description: partial 18S ribosomal RNA
Rfam family: Eukaryotic small subunit ribosomal RNA
Source: RNAcentral